RNAcentral lists this unclassified non-coding RNA (257 nucleotides) under rhizosphere metagenome. Its description in RNAcentral is "partial ribosomal RNA internal transcribed spacer region". The record is from RNAcentral.
GUAGGUGAACCUGCGGAAGGAUCAUUACCGAGUUAGGGUUCGUCCAACGAGCCCGACCUCCCAACCCUUUGUCUAUCUUACCUUGUCGUUGCUUCGGCGAACCGGCCGUGACCAACUGGUCGUGGCCGCCGGGGGUCCACCCCCUGGAGAGCGUCCGCCGAUGGCCCGACCACAAACUCUUGUACCAAACCAUGUCCUCUGAAUUACUUGAUUAAAAUCAAAAAACAAAACUUUCAACAACGGAUCUCUUGGUUCUG